This 500-nucleotide ribosomal RNA is filed under the name uncultured Glomeromycotina. RNAcentral's name for it is "partial small subunit ribosomal RNA". It matches the Rfam family "Eukaryotic small subunit ribosomal RNA", at positions 591 to 1092 of the family's 1831-position model. Lineage: Eukaryota; Fungi; Glomeromycota. The record is from RNAcentral.
CCAAUAGCGUAUAUUAAAGUUGUUGCAGUUAAAAAGCUCGUAGUUGAAUUUCGGGAUCAAUACGUCGGUCGUGCCUCUGGUAUGUACUGGUGUUAUUGAUUUCUCCCUUCUGAUGAACCAUGAUGGCAUUAAUUUGGUGUUGUGUGGAGUCAGGACUGUUACUUUGAAAAAAUUAGAGUGUUUAAAGCAGGCUCACGCUUGAAUACAUUCGCAUGGAAUAAGUAAAUAGGACGUUCGAUCCUAUUUUGUUGGUUUCUAGGAUCAACGUAAUGAUUAAUAGGGAUAGUUGGGGGCAUUAGUAUUCAAUUGUCAGAGGCGAAAUUCUUGGAUUUAUUGAAGACUAACUACUGCGAAAGCAUUUGCCAAGGAUGUUUUCAUUAAUCAAGAACGAAAGUUAGGGGAUCGAAGACGAUCAGAUACCGUCGUAGUCUUAACCAUAAACUAUGCCGACUAGGGAUCGGAUGAUGUUAAUUUUUUAAUGACUCAUUCGGCGCCUUACG